Molecule: ribosomal RNA, 1050 nt
Filed under: Staphylococcus sp. W51
Lineage: Bacteria; Bacillati; Bacillota; Bacilli; Caryophanales; Staphylococcaceae
Description: bacterial SSU rRNA
Rfam family: Bacterial small subunit ribosomal RNA
Source: RNAcentral
ACGCUGGCGGCGUGCCUAAUACAUGCAAGUCGAGCGAACAGAUAAGGAGCUUGCUCCUUUGACGUUAGCGGCGGACGGGUGAGUAACACGUGGAUAACCUACCUAUAAGACUGGGAUAACUUCGGGAAACCGGAGCUAAUACCGGAUAACAUAUUGAACCGCAUGGUUCAAUAGUGAAAGGCGGCUUUGCUGUCACUUAUAGAUGGAUCCGCGCCGUAUUAGCUAGUUGGUAAGGUAACGGCUUACCAAGGCAACGAUACGUAGCCGACCUGAGAGGGUGAUCGGCCACACUGGAACUGAGACACGGUCCAGACUCCUACGGGAGGCAGCAGUAGGGAAUCUUCCGCAAUGGGCGAAAGCCUGACGGAGCAACGCCGCGUGAGUGAUGAAGGUCUUCGGAUCGUAAAACUCUGUUAUCAGGGAAGAACAAAAUGUGUAAGUAACUGGUGCACAAUCUUGACGGUACCUGAUCAGAAAGCCACGGCUAACUACGGUGCCAGCAGCCGCGGUAAUACGUAGGUGGCAAGCGUUAAUCCGGAAUUAUUGGGCGUAAAGCGCGCGUAGGCGGUUUUUUAAGUCUGAUGUGAAAGCCCACGGCUCAACCGUGGAGGGUCAUUGGAAACUGGAAAACUUGAGUGCAGAAGAGGAAAGUGGAAUUCCAUGUGUAGCGGUGAAAUGCGCAGAGAUAUGGAGGAACACCAGUGGCGAAGGCGACUUUCUGGUCUGUAACUGACGCUGAUGUGCGAAAGCGUGGGGAUCAAACAGGAUUAGAUACCCUGGUAGUCCACGCCGUAAACGAUGAGUGCUAAGUGUUAGGGGGUUUCCGCCCCUUAGUGCUGCAGCUAACGCAUUAAGCACUCCGCCUGGGGAGUACGACCGCAAGGUUGAAACUCAAAGGAAUUGACGGGGGACCCGCACAAGCGGUGGAGCAUGUGGUUUAAUUCGAAGCAACGCGAAGAACCUUACCAAAUCUUGACAUCCUUUGACCGCUCUAGAGAAUAGAGUCUUCCCCUUCGGGGGACAAAGUGACAGGUGGUGCAUGGUUGUCGU